UUCGCAAUGCCCGAAAGGGUGACGAAGCGACGCCGCGUGUGGGAAGAAGGCCUUCGGGUUGUAAACCACUGUUGGGAGUUAGGAAGUGUGGAAGUGUUAAUAGCGCUUUCACUUGACUAAAGCUCCAGAGGAAGCCACGGCUAACUCUGUGCCAGCAGCCGCGGUAAUACAGAGGCGGCAAGCGUUGUUCGGAAUUAUUGGGCGUAAAGAGCACGUAGGCGGCUCUGCAAGUCAGCUGUGAAAGCCUUCUGCUUAACGGAAGAACGGCAGUUGAAACUACAGGGCUUGAGUGCGGGAGGGGAGAGUGGAACUUCUGGUGGAGCGGUGAAAUGCGUAGAUAUCGGAAGGAACGCCGGCGGCGAAAGCGGCUCUCUGGCUCGUAACUGACGCUGAGUGUGCGAAAGCUGGGGGAGCAAACGGGAUUAGAUACCCUGGUAGUCCACGCCGUAAACGAUGGGCACUAAGUAGAGGGGUUUU
Molecule: ribosomal RNA, 477 nt
Filed under: uncultured anaerobic ammonium-oxidizing bacterium
Lineage: Bacteria
Description: bacterial SSU rRNA
Rfam family: Bacterial small subunit ribosomal RNA
Source: RNAcentral